This 443-nucleotide ribosomal RNA is filed under the name Thereva cf. turneri 'knyssa'. Its description in RNAcentral is "partial 16S ribosomal RNA". The record is from RNAcentral. Lineage: Eukaryota; Metazoa; Arthropoda; Insecta; Diptera; Therevidae.
AAAUGGCUGCAGUAUUUUAACUGUACAAAGGUAGCAUAAUCAUUAGUCUUUUAAUUGGAGGCUUGUAUGAAUGGUUGGACGAAAUAUUAACUGUUUCAUGUAAAAUUAUUUUGGAAUUUUAUUUUUUAGUUAAAAAGCUAAAAUUUAUUUAAAAGACGAGAAGACCCUAUAGAUCUUUAUAUUUAAUAUAUUAUAAUUAUUUAGAUUAUUUAAAUUAUGAUUAUGUUAAUUAUUUUGUUGGGGCGACAUUAAAAUUUAAUUAACUUUUAAUUUUUAUUUACAUUAAUUUAUGAAUAUUUGAUCCAUUAAUAAUGAUUAAAAAAUUAAGUUACCUUAGGGAUAACAGCGUAAUUUUUUUGAAGAGUUCAUAUCGAUAAAAAAGAUUGCGACCUCGAUGUUGGAUUAAGAUAUAAUUUUGGGUGCAGAAAUUCAAUUAUUAAGUC